CCCGCUCAGAAACUCAAUGAAUUGACGGGGGCCCGCACAAGCGGAGGAGCAUGUGGUUAAUUCGAUGAUACGCGAGGAACCUUACCUGGGCUCGAACGUAAGAUGACUGUAGGUGAAAGCUUACAUCUCUUCGGAGCAUUUUACGAGGUGCUGCAUGGUUGUCGUCAGCUCGUGCCGUGAGGUGUCGGGUUAAGUCCCAUAACGAGCGCAACCCCUACCUUUAGUUGCCAUCAGGUAAUGCUGGGGACUCUAAAGGAACUGCCUACGCAAGUAGUGAGGAAGCGGGGAUGACGUCAAAUCAGCACGGCCCUUACGUCCAGGGCUACACACGUGCUACAAUGGCCGAUACAGAGGGCAGCUACCUGGUGACAGGAUGCAAAUCUCCAAAGUCGGUCUCAGUUCGGAUCGGAGUCUGCAACCCGACUCCGUGAAGUUGGAUUCGCUAGUAAUCGCGCAUCAGCCAUGGCGCGGUGAAUACGUUCCCGGGCCUU
Molecule: ribosomal RNA, 491 nt
Filed under: uncultured Sphingobacteriales bacterium
Lineage: Bacteria; Pseudomonadati; Bacteroidota; Sphingobacteriia; Sphingobacteriales
Description: bacterial SSU rRNA
Rfam family: Bacterial small subunit ribosomal RNA
Source: RNAcentral